RNAcentral lists this ribosomal RNA (1107 nucleotides) under uncultured archaeon. RNAcentral's name for it is "bacterial SSU rRNA". It matches the Rfam family "Archaeal small subunit ribosomal RNA", at positions 81 to 1188 of the family's 1478-position model. The record is from RNAcentral.
UCGGACUGCUCAGUAACACGUGGAAUAACCUACCCUUGGGACUGGGAUAACCCCGGGAAACUGGGGAUAAUACCGGAUAGAUCAGGGAUGCUGGAAUGCGCCUUGAUCCAAAGCUCCGGCGCCCAAGGAUGGGUCUGCGGCCUAUCAGGUUGUAGUGGGUGUAACGUACCUACUAGCCGACGACGGGUACGGGUUGUGAGAACAAGAGCCCGGAGAUGGAUUCUGAGACACGAAUCCAGGCCCUACGGGGUGCAGCAGGCUCUAAACCUUUACAAUGUGCGAAAGCAUGAUAAGGGAACUCCGAGUGCCAGCAUCUAAUGCUGGCUGUCCUUGUGCCUAAAACGCACAAGAUAGCAAGGGCCGGGUAAGACCGGUGCCAGCCGCCGCGGUAACACCGGCGGCCCGAGUGGUAGCCGCUAUUAUUGGGUCUAAAGGGUCCGUAGCCGGUUCGAUAAGUCCUCUGGGAAAUCUGGUUGCUUAACAAUCAGACUGCCAAGGGAUACUGUCGAACUUGAGACCGGGAGAGGUAAGAGGUACUUCAGGGGUAGGAGUGAAAUCUUGUAAUCCCUGGGGGACCAUCUGUGGCGAAGGCGUCUUACCAAAACGGGUCUGACGGUGAGGGACAAAAGCUGGGGGCGCAAACCGGAUUAGAUACCCGGGUAGUCCCAGCCGUAAACGAUGCUCGCUAUGUGUCAGGUACGGUGUGACCGUAUCUGGUGCCGUAGGGAAGCCGUGAAGCGAGCCACCUGGGAAGUACGGUCGCAAGACUGAAACUUAAAGGAAUUGGCGGGGGAGCACUACAACGGGUGGAGCCUGCGGUUUAAUUGGAUUCAACGCCGGAAAUCUUACCGGGGGAGACAGCAGCAUGAAGGUCAGGCUGAAGACCUUACCAGAUCCGCUGAGAGGAAGUGCAUGGCCGUCGUCAGUUCGUACUGUGAAGCAUCCUGUUAAGUCAGGCAACGAGCGAGACCCGUGCCCACAGUUGCCAGCAUGCCCUUCGGGGCGAUGGGUACUUUGUGGGGACCGCCGCUGCUAAAGCGGAGGAAGGAGCGGGUUACGGUAGGUCAGUAUGCUCCGAAACUCCCGGGCUACGCGCGGGCUACAAUG